This 382-nucleotide ribosomal RNA is filed under the name Sporisorium sp. RNAcentral describes it as "partial small subunit ribosomal RNA". It matches the Rfam family "Eukaryotic small subunit ribosomal RNA", at positions 582 to 975 of the family's 1831-position model. Lineage: Eukaryota; Fungi; Basidiomycota; Ustilaginomycetes; Ustilaginales; Ustilaginaceae. The record is from RNAcentral.
AUUCCAGCUCCAAUAGUGUAUAUUAAAGUUGUUGCAGUUAAAGAGCUCGUAGUUGAAGUUUGGUCUCGGACGCUGGGUCUGCUUAAUUGCAUGUACUUGACGGUCCGAGACUUCCUUCUUGGUGAACGGCCGCCUUCGGGUGGUCCGGAACCAGGACUAUUACUUUGAAAAAAUUAGAGUGUUCAAAGCAGGCCAUAGGCCCGAAUAUAUUAGCAUGGAAUAACAGAAUAGGACGUGCGGUUCUAUUUUGUUGGUUUCUAGAACUGCCGUAAUGAUUAAAAGGGACAGCCGGGGGCAUUAGUAUUUGCACGCUAGAGGUGAAAUUCUUGGAUUGUGCAAAGACUUCCUACUGCGAAAGCAUUUGCCAAGAAUGUUUUCAUCG